This 187-nucleotide small nuclear RNA is filed under the name Zea mays. RNAcentral's name for it is "U2 spliceosomal RNA". It matches the Rfam family "U2 spliceosomal RNA". Rfam says of the family: U2 is a small nuclear RNA (snRNA) component of the spliceosome (involved in pre-mRNA splicing). Complementary binding between U2 snRNA (in an area lying towards the 5' end but 3' to hairpin I) and the branchpoint sequence (BPS) of the intron results the bulging out of an unpaired adenosine, on the BPS, which initiates a nucleophilic attack at the intronic 5' splice site, thus starting the first of two transesterification reactions that mediate splicing. The record is from Rfam by way of RNAcentral. Lineage: Eukaryota; Viridiplantae; Streptophyta; Magnoliopsida; Poales; Poaceae.
CUCAUUUUUCAGUCUCUUGGCUAAGAUCAAGUGUAAUAUUUGUUUUACCAGUUCAAUAUUUGGUACAUUAACAAUAUGUUCACUUUGAUAUUAAAUUUAUUUAUUAUGAAUAUUUUUAUGUGAGGGUCCAUUCUCUACUAACUAUUAAGGGGGCAGUGUAGACUGCCCCCGCCUCAGCAGCCCAGCA